AACGUAGGACACAAGCGUUAUCCGGAGUUACUGGGCGUAAAGGGCGUUUAGGCGGGUGACUAAGUUCGCUAUGAAAGCGCCGGGCUAAACUCGGCGAGGCUGGCGGAUACUGGUCAUCUGGAGUGAGUCAGAGGAAGGUAGAAUUCCGCGUGUAGUGGUGAAAUGCGUAGAUAUCUGGAGGAACACCGGUGGCGAAGGCGGCUUCCUGGUCCAGCACCGACGUUCAGGCACGAAAGCGUGGGGAGCAAACAGG
RNAcentral lists this ribosomal RNA (253 nucleotides) under uncultured bacterium. Its description in RNAcentral is "partial 16S ribosomal RNA". It matches the Rfam family "Bacterial small subunit ribosomal RNA", at positions 524 to 776 of the family's 1533-position model. The record is from RNAcentral.